UUUCUUUUCUUCAGACAAACUCAUCUUUAUUUGAGUUAGGAUUUGAACCAAAACCAAAUAAAAGGAAAAACUGAAACUUGAAAUUACAAAUUGGUCUCUCAUGUGCUAUUUACAACUCUUAGAGGUCUUACCAAACCAUUCCAAAAAGUUGAAGGGGUCAAACUAUAACUAGAAGAGUACUGUCUCCAUUUCAGAGAGACGAGAGUUGUGAAGUACGAAUUCUGAUUAUCGAACGGAGCCGCCGGCAAGAAUUGCUUUGGGCGAAUCAUCUUCAGGGAUAUCACAAUGGGAUACGUGCAGGAAGCCCGAAAAAAUCACGUCAAGAAGAAGGUCGAAGAAGGUAAAUUUGAUCUUAAACCCCUAACUAGUCAUGUACAUUAAUCAUAUAUCGUCAUUUGUGUAGCAUCAAGUGGCCGAUGAAUAUAACUGCACGCAUUAUUACUUUGUGGAAAUGAAUUCCAAUUUUAUACAAAAUU
This 476-nucleotide long non-coding RNA is filed under the name Nicotiana benthamiana. Its description in RNAcentral is "long non-coding RNA (NBEN_LNC013940)". Lineage: Eukaryota; Viridiplantae; Streptophyta; Magnoliopsida; Solanales; Solanaceae. The record is from RNAcentral.